CCUACGGGAGGCAGCAGUGAGGAAUAUUGGUCAAUGGACGAGAGUCUGAACCAGCCAAGUAGCGUGAAGGAUGACUGCCCUAUGGGUUGUAAACUUCUUUUAUAUGGGAAUAAAACGUUCCACGUGUGGGAUUUUGUAUGUACCAUAUGAAUAAGGAUCGGCUAACUCCGUGCCAGCAGCCGCGGUAAUACGGAGGAUCCGAGCGUUAUCCGGAUUUAUUGGGUUUAAAGGGAGCGUAGGUGGAUGGUUAAGUCAGUUGUGAAAGUUUGCGGCUCAACCGUAAAAUUGCAGUGGAAACUGGCAGUCUUGAGUACAGUAGAGGUGGGCGGAAUUCGUGGUGUAGCGGUGAAAUGCUUAGAUAUCACGAAGAACUCCGAUUGCGAAGGCAGUUCACUGUACUGCAACUGACACUGAGGCUCGAAAGUGUGGGUAUCAAACAGGAUUAGAUACCCGGGUAGUC
Molecule: ribosomal RNA, 460 nt
Filed under: uncultured bacterium
Lineage: Bacteria
Description: partial 16S ribosomal RNA
Rfam family: Bacterial small subunit ribosomal RNA
Source: RNAcentral